CGGACGGGUGAGUAACGCGUGGGUAACCUGCCUCAUACAGGGGGAUAACAGUUAGAAAUGACUGCUAAUACCGCAUAAGCGCACGGUACCGCAUGGUACGGUGUGAAAAACUCCGGUGGUAUGAGAUGGACCCGCGUCUGAUUAGCUGGUUGGUGAGGUAACGGCCCACCAAGGCGACGAUCAGUAGCCGACCUGAGAGGGUGACCGGCCACAUUGGGACUGAGACACGGCCCAG
RNAcentral lists this ribosomal RNA (235 nucleotides) under uncultured bacterium. RNAcentral's name for it is "partial 16S ribosomal RNA". It matches the Rfam family "Bacterial small subunit ribosomal RNA", at positions 99 to 334 of the family's 1533-position model. The record is from RNAcentral.